AAAAAAAAAGAAGUCAGGAAUGAACUGCUUCAAGGCUAAGACAUACUUGGCUCACAUCUCUGAUAUCGGCUAACACUGGAAUCAGCAUGGCCCAGAGGAUAAAAACAAUAAACAACACAAACAGAACAAAAUAGAACAAAACACAUAACUGAAAAUAAAGACAACUGAAUUCCAGUCCCAGCUCAGCCACUGUUGUGCUUUGUGGGUCUUGUUCUUGUACAUUUCAAAUCAAGAGGAUGGAACUUGUUCAUCUCAUUGUUGUGAAGAUGAAAAGUUGAGUAACUUGUGGAUCUGGGUGGGACUGUAUUAGGGACUGGUACAGUAAAACAAUUAAAAUGAAAUGAUCCACAGGAGACACUUCCAUCAAUAGUUGUUAUUCCGUGACAUCUUAUCUACUUAAGCAGCUAACCCAUGAGGCAUCCAAAACAGAGAGAAAAAACAGAGUGAACAUUUUGCCUUAUGGAAUUGUCAAAAGUUGCGGUCGAAACACAGGCAAGAUUUGGAAGAAUCUGUAAUGAGCCAGGGCCAGUUUUCCUAGUUAUAGAGCCUAGGCUGGAGGAGGUACAUGGGCUGGGGAAGGAGAGGGAAUUAGAGAUUGGCUGUUCCUGGAAACUCUCUGCCUGUACUCCAUGGCCUGAGUCCCAGGACCUGGAAGCGGCUGAAAAUCUGAGAUAUAGAAGAGACUGGUGCUGCCUUUCUGGGGAGGGCUUGGGAAAACAGCAAGUUCCCUGAAUUUUUCCAUGGCACAGGAGCAGAUGAAAUGUCAUGAUUGGUGUCCAGGCUAGUGGACUGAGUUAACUCCCGAGAGUCCCUGUACUCUCCAGCAUGGCACGAGGAGAAGCAAACCAUUUUCCUAUGCAGCCAUAGGAAAACGGUACAAACACGACACUGAAAUUCAGCUGACCGCAAGAGCUUGAUGGUCAGUGUGAGCCAGAUGGAGCAGGAACAUGUAUGGAUGGAAAACCCAGAUCCAAAGUUCAUCCCCCUCUCCCGUGGAUGCUCCAGCACAUUGCAAGGUUUCCCAGAAACUUAGAGGCAACCUUGGCACAAGGACAUGAUUUGUUGGAAAUUAAGUUUUGUCACCUGGGGGACUGCGAGCUUGAUACGGAAAUUAAUUCAGUUAUAUAAUUAUAAAAAUGAUGCACUUUCUACACAUCUGAUUUUGUGAACCCAAAUUAGUUUCCACAACGCAACUGUGUUAACAUUUGCCAACCUCUGGGGCAACAUUGGUUGUCUUUGUUGCUUUUUUCUAGAAGUUUUCAGCUCAAACUCAUCUUUCCCUUUUUUAUUUUCAUUUCUAAAUUCUGGUGAGUGGUGUUUUGAUAAGUAGAUAUCAGCUAUUUCCUGUCUUACUUGAAAAGUCUUCUCUGUAUUAAAUAACAAAGGUCACUUAGAUAAAUAUCUUCUCAUUACCAGAGGGUAGGGAACUGCUUCUCCUAUACAUAACUUCUAUUAUCUUUCAAUCCAGAAAAAAAAACGUGGCAGGAGGACAAGUUUUUGAAUGUUAUGAAUCGUGAUUUCUGUGUCUAAAAUCUGCUCUUUUGUUAACACUAAGGGCAACUUCCUUCAAAGUGGUUCAUCUUGGUCUAUUACUGUGUUUGUGUGUGUGUGUGUGUGUGUGUGUGUGUGUGUGUGUGU
Molecule: long non-coding RNA, 1638 nt
Filed under: Homo sapiens (human)
Lineage: Eukaryota; Metazoa; Chordata; Mammalia; Primates; Hominidae
Description: HSALNT0374052
Source: RNAcentral